This 312-nucleotide ribosomal RNA is filed under the name uncultured marine eukaryote. RNAcentral's name for it is "SSU rRNA". It matches the Rfam family "Eukaryotic small subunit ribosomal RNA", at positions 613 to 929 of the family's 1831-position model. The record is from RNAcentral.
UUGCGGUUAAAAAGCUCGUAGUUGGAUUUCUGUCGAGGGCGGGCGGUCCGCACUAUGUGCGUGUAUCUUGUUCGGUCUUGGCAUCCUCUUGGGGAAUGCUUCUGUGCUUGAUUGCAUGGGGUGGAAUUCAAGACUUUUACUUUGAGGAAAUUAGAGUGUUCACGGCAAGCUACCGCUUUGAAUACAUUAGCAUGGAAUAAUAAUAUAGGGCGUAAGUUCUAUUUUGUUGGUUUCUAGGACAUACGCAAUGAUUAAUAGGGACAAUUGGGGGCAUUCGUAUUAACGCGUCGGAGGUGGAAUUCUUAGAUUGCG